Molecule: small nuclear RNA, 107 nt
Organism: Delphinapterus leucas (beluga whale)
Lineage: Eukaryota; Metazoa; Chordata; Mammalia; Artiodactyla; Monodontidae
Source: Ensembl
GUGCUCGCUUCGGCAGCACAUAUACUAAAAUCGGAAUGGUACAGACAAGAUUGGCAUGGCCCCUGCACAAGGAUGACAUGCAAAUUAGUGAAGGGUUCCAUGUUUUU